This is a small nucleolar RNA of Zingiber officinale, 78 nucleotides long. RefSeq annotates it as small nucleolar RNA R160. The transcript has a single exon. NCBI's taxonomy places the organism in Eukaryota, Viridiplantae, Streptophyta, Magnoliopsida, Zingiberales, Zingiberaceae. The record is from RefSeq and is a predicted model, not a curated record.
AGCAAAAAGAUGAGAGUUGGAGAUCUGAUGCUGAUGUGGAUAAUUCUUUACCAUUGUCUUCAAAGUUCUCUGAUUGCU